ACCCAAAAACACAAAGUUUUGGUCCUAAACUUGCCGUUGUUUUUUAUCAAAAUUACACAUGCAAGCCUCCACAUACCAGUGAAAAUGCCCUUAAACACCCUCAUUAGUCAAAAGGAGCAGGCAUCAGGAUCACCAAGUACCAUUGCCAAAGACGCCUUGCUUUGCCACACCCCCACGGGCCUUCAGCAGUGAAUAAUAUUAAGACAUGAGCGAAAGCUCGACUUAGUUAUGAUAUUUAUGGCCGGUAAAUUUCGUGCCAGCCACCGCGGUUAUACGAAAGACCAAAAACAACGGCCCUGCGGCGUAAAGAGUGACCAGGGGAUAAGUUAUACAAUUAAAGAAAACCUCUGACAAAGUUGUAAAACACUUCUGCCAAUUGGAACAACAACCAAGAGUCUUUAAAGCAACAGACUACCUCUCUUCACGAAAGCUGGGAGACAAACUGGGAUUAGAUACCCCACUAUGCCCAACCAUUAACAUAGACAACAAAACACAAUGUUGUCCGCCAGAGAACUACGAGCGAAAAACUUAAAACUCCAAGGACUUGGCGGUACCCCACACCGACCUAGAGGAGCCUGUCCUAUAAUCGAUACCCCACGUUUUACCCAACCACCCCUUGCAGCCCAGCCUAUAUACCGCCGUCGCCAGCCUACCUUAUGAAAGAAGCAAAGUAGGCAUAAUAGUCUACAACUAACACGUCAGGUCAAGGUGUAGCAUAUGGGGUGGAAGAGAUGGGCUACAUUUUCUAACUCAGAAUACUACGAACAGUAUAGUGAAACACAUACUCGAAGGUGGAUUUAGCAGUAAGAUAGACAAGAAACUCUACCUUAAACACGCUCUGGGGUGCGCACACACCGCCCGUCACCCUCAUCG
RNAcentral lists this non-coding RNA (873 nucleotides) under Lamprolepis smaragdina. Its description in RNAcentral is "partial 12S ribosomal RNA". It matches the Rfam family "Bacterial small subunit ribosomal RNA". The record is from RNAcentral. Lineage: Eukaryota; Metazoa; Chordata; Lepidosauria; Squamata; Scincidae.